CGUCAAAUCAUCAUGCCCUAUAUGACCUGGGCUACACACGUGCUACAAUGGGGUGAACAACGGGAAGCGAGCAAGCGAUUGUGAGCGGAUCCCUAAAAACACCUCUCAGUUCGGAUUGCAGGCUGCAACUCGCCUGCAUGAAGUCGGAAUUGCUAGUAAUCGCGGAUCAGCAAGCCGCGGUGAAUACGUUCCCGGGCCUU
Molecule: ribosomal RNA, 200 nt
Filed under: uncultured prokaryote
Description: partial 16S ribosomal RNA
Rfam family: Bacterial small subunit ribosomal RNA
Source: RNAcentral